CUUGUACACACCGCCCGUCACACCAUGAGAGUUUGUAACACCCAAAGUCGGUUGGAUAACCUUUUAGGAGUCCGCCGCCUAAGGUGGGACAGAUGAUUAGGGUGAAGUCGUAACAAGGUAGCCGUAGGAGAACCUGCGGCUGGAUCACCUCCUUU
Molecule: ribosomal RNA, 155 nt
Filed under: Fructilactobacillus sanfranciscensis
Lineage: Bacteria; Bacillati; Bacillota; Bacilli; Lactobacillales; Lactobacillaceae
Description: Lactobacillus sanfranciscensis partial 16S ribosomal RNA
Rfam family: Bacterial small subunit ribosomal RNA
Source: RNAcentral